UGGGGAAUUUUGGACAAUGGGGGAACCCUGAUCCAGCCAUCCCGCGUGUGCGAUGAAGGCCUUCGGGUUGUAAAGCACUUUUGGCAGGAAAGAAACGUCGCGGGUUAAUACCCCGCGAAACUGACGGUACCUGCAGAAUAAGCACCGGCUAACUACGUGCCAGCAGCCGCGGUAAUACGUAGGGUGCAAGCGUUAAUCGGAAUUACUGGGCGUAAAGCGUGCGCAGGCGGUUCGGAAAGAAAGAUGUGAAAUCCCAGAGCUUAACUUUGGAACUGCAUUUUUAACUACCGGGCUAGAGUGUGUCAGAGGGAGGUGGAAAUUCCNCGUGUAGCAGUGAAAUGCGUAGAUAUGCGGAGGAACACCGAUGGCGAAGGCAGCCUCCUGGGAUAACACUGACGCUCAUGCACGAAAGCGUGGGGGAGCAAACAGGAUUAGAUACCCUGGUAGUCCACGCCCUAAAACGAAUGUCAACUAGCUGUUGGGGCCUUCGGGCCUUGGUAAGCGCAGCU
RNAcentral lists this ribosomal RNA (509 nucleotides) under uncultured bacterium. Its description in RNAcentral is "partial 16S ribosomal RNA". It matches the Rfam family "Bacterial small subunit ribosomal RNA", at positions 355 to 853 of the family's 1533-position model. The record is from RNAcentral.